Molecule: long non-coding RNA, 881 nt
Organism: Armigeres subalbatus
Lineage: Eukaryota; Metazoa; Arthropoda; Insecta; Diptera; Culicidae
Exons: 2
Source: RefSeq, a predicted model, not a curated record
AUUUCCAUAUAUUUUUUGACUCCUUCGCAACCAUUGUGAUGACUCGAUCAAUUUUGAGGUUAUGAGCAGAAGGAAAACAAACAUGUAUUUACCGUAUUUACACAAGCCGAUUUGCACAAAAUUGUGCGAGCGUUAAACGUCACUCAUCUCUAUUUCCAACACGAUUGUUUUUGUUUAUGAAGUACGUUCGAAGAGCGACGGCGAACUGUUUUGAAUCUGCAAGUACAAAAAUUGCUUUGGAAGUUAAUAUCUUUUGGACCUGGAAUCAUCGGCAGUGCGGCAUAAAAUGGACAGGAACUCGGAGCUGGGAGCUGCAUGGGAUUCGGAGAUAAUCUGUUAUGUUGCUGAUUUAUCUACAAGCCACAGGUUCGGAUGUCUACAGUAACACAAAACAAUCAACUCUUUCGGAUAUAAAAAAGUAAUGGCUAGAGACAUGCAGGGUGGAGUGAAAGUCGCUCUUCAACAAAAUGCUACACCAGAAUCUCACAAGCCCAGGAGGAGGCCAUUGAAGAGGUCACAAACGACAAAUAUUCAAGGAAUAGUGAAAAGUUAUUCUCGAUGUACUUGAAAACCGGAAUAGUCUGUUAGAGAAGAGAAGAAUAUUCAUAUAAUUCGUAUGGCAUACCUGACUUCAAAAGUAGAGCACUGUUUAAAUUGGCGAAGGACUACACAGCUAUACUUUUAAAAUUAGUUUUUUCAUAAGGAUUCUAUGACAAAUUACCAACUUCGCGAAAUGACUAUUCCGGUUUUCAACUAUUAAUAUAAAUAUAAUGGAAUUCGGAAUACAUAGUUAUAUUGUUAUAACAAUAAAAAGCGAAUAGACAUGUCGACAAUAUAUGUAACUAAAUAAAAGCUCGUAAAUGUUUACGAUGUUUCAUGAA